RNAcentral lists this ribosomal RNA (497 nucleotides) under uncultured bacterium. Its description in RNAcentral is "partial 16S ribosomal RNA". It matches the Rfam family "Bacterial small subunit ribosomal RNA", at positions 28 to 507 of the family's 1533-position model. The record is from RNAcentral.
GAUGAACGCUGGCGGCGUGCCUAAUACAUGCAAGUCGAGCGAACAGACGAGGAGCUUGCUCCUCUGACGUUAGCGGCGGACGGGUGAGUAACACGUGGAUAACCUACCUAUAAGACUGGGAUAACUUCGGGAAACCGGAGCUAAUACCGGAUAAUAUAUUAAACCGCAGGGUUCAAUAGUGAAAGACGGUUUUGCUGUCACUUAUAAAUGGAUCCGCGCCGCAUUAGCUAGUUGGUAAGGUAACGGCUUACCAAGGCAACGAUGCGUAGCCGACCUGAGAGGGUGAUCGGCCACACUGGAACUGAGACACGGUCCAGACUCCUACGGGAGGCAGCAGUAGGGAAUCUUCCGCAAUGGGCGAAAGCCUGACGGAGCAACGCCGCGUGAGUGAUGAAGGUCUUCGGAUCGUAAAACUCUGUUAUUAGGGAAGAACAAAUGUGUAAGUAACUAUGCACGUCUUGACGGUACCUAAUCAGAAAGCCACGGCUAACUACGUG